RNAcentral lists this long non-coding RNA (1106 nucleotides) under Homo sapiens (human). RNAcentral's name for it is "HSALNT0388226". Lineage: Eukaryota; Metazoa; Chordata; Mammalia; Primates; Hominidae. The record is from RNAcentral.
AGCAACCCGUUGGAGUCCCUUUCCACACUGUGGAAGGUUUGUUCUUUUGCUCUUUGCAAUAACUCUUGCUGCUGCUCACUGUUUGGGUCCACAUUGCUUUUAUGAGCUGUAACACUCGCCGCGAAGGUCUACAGCUUCAGUCCUGAAGCCGGCGAGACCACCAACCCACCAGGAGGAACAAACAACUUCAGACGCGCUGCCUUAAGAGCUGUAACACUCACCGCGAAGGUCUGCAGCUUCACUCCUGAAGCCAGCGAGACCACGAACCCAUCAGGAGGAACGAACAACUCCAGACGCGCCGCCUUAAGAGCUGCAACACUCACCGCGAAGGUCCGUAGCUUCACUCCUGAGCCAGCGAGACCACGAACCCACCAAAAGGAAGAAACUCCGGACACAUCCUAACAUCAGAAGGAACAAACUCCGGACACGCCACCUUUAAGAACUGUAACACUCACCGCGAAGGUCCACGGCUUCAUUCUUUAAGUCAGUGAGACUGAGAACCCGCCAAUUCCGGACACACAGCUACAGCCAAGCCUCUUUGCUUCUCUGGGCCAGCCUCUCUGGAGCUGAAUCGUGGCUGGCUGGAUUUGAGGAGCCUGCAUGGGCGCACUCUCUCUUUCUGAAUCCCAGCUAGGGCUCUCCUGGCUGUAAUUACUAAGACUCAGCUGCUGGGAAUUUCCACGCCUCCUACCUCUCUACAGGGCAGUCCCUCCAUAUUAGGAAACCCACUGGCACGCUCCGCCGUUAUCUUCGCAAGACUUCCGUUGUUGCCUCAAGUUGCAGAUUGCCUUUUAACAGAGAAGAAAGUGACAGAAAGAUGUCUCUGCUGGCAGCGUGGGGGGCAGGCUGGCUUGGGGAUGCUGGAGGCUGGAGCUCUAAGUAGAGGAUGGUGUUAUCCAAGACCCGGAGGCAUCAGGACCUGCAAAAGUGCUGUCAAAACAGGAAAAUGCUGUGAACUUUAACAAAAUUGUCAAGUUCACCAACUUUUUUUUUUCUCUGUUAAAGAUCUUGCUUGCUUGACUGGUUUUUCCAAAUUCCCAGAGCUUCUCUGAAGUCAGUCAAUAUGGCAUUAUUGUCAUUUGGGGAACAGUAAACCUUUGAAAAAU